GACGUCGAUAUUCGACGUCAUAAACACGAUCAACUUUGGUGUUUAUGACGUCGAUAUUCGACGUCAUAAACACGAUCAACUUUGGUGUUUAUUACGUCGAUAUUCGACGUCAUAAACACGAUCAACUUUGGUGUUUAUGACGUCGAUAUUCGACGUCAUAAACACGAUCAACUUUGGUGUUUAUGACGUCGAUAUUCGACGUCAUAAACACGAUCAAGUUUGGUGUUUAUGACGUCGAUAUUCGACGUC
This is a non-coding RNA of Paramuricea clavata, 249 nucleotides long. The record is from the annotation of a GenBank genome assembly. NCBI's taxonomy places the organism in Eukaryota, Metazoa, Cnidaria, Anthozoa, Malacalcyonacea, Plexauridae.